This 624-nucleotide ribosomal RNA is filed under the name uncultured bacterium. RNAcentral describes it as "bacterial SSU rRNA". It matches the Rfam family "Bacterial small subunit ribosomal RNA", at positions 338 to 1533 of the family's 1533-position model. The record is from RNAcentral.
CCUACGGGAGGCAGCAGUAGGGAAUCUUCCACAAUGGGCGAAAGCCUGAUGGAGCAACGCCGCGUGAGUGAUGAAGGCCUUCGGGUUGUAAAACUCUGUCAUUCGGGACGAACCGGAGUCUGAGGAAAUGCAGACUCUCUGACGGUACCGGAGGAGGAAGCCCCGGCUAACUACGUGCCAGCAGCCGCGGUAAUACGUAGGGGGCAAGCGUUGUCCGGAUUCACUGGGCGUAAAGCGCGCGCAGGCGGUGAUGUAAGUCUGAGGUGAAAACCCGAAGCUCAACUUCGGGACUGCCUUGGAUACUGCGUCACUUGAGGAUAGGAGAGGCAAGGGGAAUUCCACGUGUAGCGGUGAAAUGCGUAGAGAUGUGGAGGAACACCUGUGGCGAAGGCGCCUUGCUGGCCUAUUUCUGACGCUGAGGCGCGAAAGCGUGGGGAGCAAACAGGAUUAGAUACCCUGGUAGUCCACGCUGUAAACGAUGAGUGCUAGGUGUAGGUGGGCUCAUACCCAUCUGUGCCGAAGCUAACGCAUUAAGCACUCCGCCUGGGGAGUACGGUCGCAAGACUGAAACUCAAAGAGUAGUUAGGCGNGNGAGAGCGACGACGACGACACGGAGGGAGGAGG